GCCAGGCGUGGUGGCGUGCACCUAUAAUCCCAGCUACUUGGGAGGCUGAGGUAGAAGAAUCGCUUGAACCUAGGAGGCAGAGGCUGCAGUGAGCUGAGAUUGUGCCACUGCACUCCCGCCUGGGUGACAGAGUGAGACUCCAUCUCAA
This 148-nucleotide non-coding RNA is filed under the name Chlorocebus sabaeus (green monkey). The record is from Rfam by way of RNAcentral. Lineage: Eukaryota; Metazoa; Chordata; Mammalia; Primates; Cercopithecidae.